AACAAUUCCCUGUUUUCCUUCAGAGAGGCCAGAGGCAUUUGUUCUCUGAACAGAAGAGUAUUAAGCAAGCCUUGGGGGUGAGCUUCAUUAAAGUUCUGUGAUGACAGUUGAAAAGGAAUGUUCUAUUUCUCCCCAAAGGGCUGGAGAAAUAAGAAAAGAUGAUGUGCAUUGAAAUGGUGCCCAGCUGCACUGAAGCCAGUAACCGUGCAAUCGAGAGGUUGUGCAAGCACAGCAGAUUAUAAGGAUCCAAGGUAUCCAGUGCCUGCCUUACCCAUUCCCUCCCAUUCCCUCCAAAGCUCUGGCCAUCCAACCCAUGCCACAGAGCACCACUGCAGGUCUUGGAUCAAAGACUCUUGGGCAGGUGUCUAGAAUUCCAAGGCCCAGCUCUAGCACUGACUUCUAUUGACCUGUUUCCUCAACUAUAAAAUGUAAAAAAUUAUUGCACCUAUAUCGCUAUGUGGUUGUGAAGAUCUCAGAAUAUCAUAGUGCCUGGAAUAUCAGAGCUGCAGUUGCCAUGAAGACAGUAAAGUUGUGACCUGCAAGUCAUGCUAAAUAUUUAUAUUUGAAAUGAAGGUUUCACUUAGAUCAUUCAGGUUUAUUGGCCACAUGCACUGGGAGUAGGAAAUCUACACUCAUCACACAUAGGCUCACUCAUAAAAACACUUACUUGGCUCUUAGUAGCCAAACCACAGAAUCCAUUGGCUCUGUGAAUCAGAACUUUUCCCCUUCUCCUGAUCAGCCCCUUCUCCACAAAACUUAGAAAGUGAGGGAUUCAAUUCAAGAGCAUCUGAUUCAAUUUGGAGCUGAAGGUUACAGAUCAACAAGGUUGUCAUGUUAGAACAGAGAAGGGGCAGAAUGCAAGUCUUACUUAAAGCUCUUCAAAUUCUCUCCUUAAAGCACUCCUUUGGAGAUCAUUAUCUUUUCUUAAAUGGACUAUUCAGAAGGAUUAGAUGGCCAAUCUAGGCUGAAUUAAUAAACUCCUUUUAUUUAA
This is a long non-coding RNA of Monodelphis domestica (gray short-tailed opossum), 991 nucleotides long. RefSeq lists it as uncharacterized. Lineage: Eukaryota; Metazoa; Chordata; Mammalia; Didelphimorphia; Didelphidae. The record is from RefSeq and is a predicted model, not a curated record.